Sorex araneus (European shrew) is the source of this 2327-nucleotide long non-coding RNA. RefSeq lists it as uncharacterized. The transcript is spliced from 6 exons. Lineage: Eukaryota; Metazoa; Chordata; Mammalia; Eulipotyphla; Soricidae. The record is from RefSeq and is a predicted model, not a curated record.
CUGGGCCCUGAUUAGGUACAGCUUACGGGUUUGCUCUACAGCUUGUCUGUGCCAUGUGUUGUGAGGGUAGGAAAUUCCGGCACCCAGUGCUUGGGGCAUCACCGUCCUAAACCAGCGUUUCAGGGAAUAUCCCGACGGGUCUAAUGGUAACUGCAUAAUUACGCUUCGUCUCUGCGGGUUCUCAGCGUCUUCGCUCUCCCUCUCCGGCUCUGCAGCGGAUUUCUCCCGCCUCCGCUGGCACUUAGAUGGAGCUGGGAUGCACCCGCGUGAAUCCAGACCCAGCUGAGCCAACUACAACAUGGGCAGCUCCUAGCAGAUUGUUUCCUGCCAGAGAACUAAGCUGCGACCCCAUGCCCGCCCGGGAGGGGAAAGGUAUUUCUCUCUCGCGCCUGUCCCUUCCCGGGGAUGAAGGGCGCGGGAACCGCCAUAUUAUAAUGACCACAGAUGGGGUUUACAAGCUUGCAAUGAUCGAAUAUCCGGAAGAAAUCUCCCUGGACUUAGUUGUUAAAGUACAGAAAUACAAAACCUCAUUUCUCUUCACAACAGGUCUGACUCUAGUGGGGUGCUCCUAAUAAUAAUGAAAAUUUGUAAUGUUAGAGCCCGGCAAGCUACUGAGAGUAUCCCGCCCGCACAGCAGAGCCUGGCAACCUAUCGUGGCAUAUUUGGUAUGUCAAAAACAGUAACAACAAGUCUUACAAUGGAGACAUGACUGGUGUCCACUCGAGCAAAUCGAUGAACAAUGACUUGAAGGCCUCUCCCAAGCCUGGUGUGCACAUCUCAGCAGAGGAACCAGACACCUUCAGACUCAGUCAUUCUUCUUCAAUUGAGGUUUCUGGAACAAGCUUACCAGGAGUUGCCUUCGGGUCUUAUGAUUCAGCCACCCCUCAGGUGCCUGACCAUUGCCCAUCACAGCCUCACACCUGGGCCUUGAGGACCAAAAGGUCACACCUGGUGAUGCACAGGGGUCACUCCUGGCUUUGCACUCUUGGCAGUGCUCGGGGAUCAUAUGGGAUGCUGGGAUUCAAACCCAGGUCAGCCGUGUGCAAGGCAAAUGUCCUACCCGCUGUGCUGUUGCUCCAACCCUUGGUUUUACCUUUAAAGUGUGUAUCUGAGCAGAGCCGCCAGGAACCAUCUGGGGUCCGAGAGCCAAGAGGUGUCCACGAGAGCCAAGAGGUGUCCACGCGCGUCGCCCUGAGCCUGCCUAGGCUGGUGGUCCAGGCCGACCAGCCUGUUGAAUCCACACAGCAAAUGAGCGUCCCAGGCGUGACACCCUUUAAUGGCCUCAGCGCGCACGCCCUUGCAGCCACUCACCUGAAACUGAACUGGCUUGCGGAAAGAUUUGUGUGAGCGUGUGCGUGGGAUCCCCAUUGUAAGGGGUCUGUUUCCUUCUCAGCUCCUCUGAGCACGGGUUUCACCACCAACAGAAUGGGUCCCCCAAAACCGCCAGGGUAGGCCCAGAGCAACAUUACAGUGGGAGGGCACUGGCCUUGCACACAGCCAACUUGGGUUCAGUCCCCAGCAUCCCCAUUGCAUUCCCUGAGCCCGCCAGGAGUGAUCCCUGAGUGCAGAGCCAGGAUCAGCCCCGAGCACCGCUGGGCUGAGAAACAACAGAGCACCAAGGCGGAUGUGGGGUGGGAGAAUUGGGGACCCAAGGAGCCCUGGGCUGAGCCAGAGAGGGGGGGCCCGGGGAAAAGCAUCCAGUUUCUCCAUAAGGACACUGCAGCUGGGCCUGUGCCUCGGGGUGGUGGUCUGGGUGCCCCUCGGGAAAGCCUCCUCUGCAAAGGGGGGCCAGGGCCCCACCCGAUGCCACCUGGGCUUGUCGCACCACACCAAUGCCCCUGGGUGGGUUUGGGAGGAUUUGUUGGCCCCACCCCUUAGUGAGGCCAUUCACUGGAAGAUCCAGAUGUGCUGACUUUCGGGGAGAUCGAUGAGUCCACUUGCUUCCCGGUGGGGGAUGCUGGAACUUGAGCAGGAUGAAGCAUAUGGCAAACUUCUUUCUGGAAAACCAGCCCGUGUCUCAGCACGGAGGGGAGGGUUCUGGCACCUUGAGUGGGUAGGUCACUGCCUGCAGAGUCCCUGGCCGUGCCGCUGCCAUCCUGGAGCCACAAAGGGCCGGGGGGCCGGUCGAGGACUUGGUCGACUGGGUGGAGGUGAGUGAGUGGACUGGCUGGUUGGUCAGUUGAUGAUUGAUUGGUGGAUCCAUUGAUUUACAGGCAGGUUUGUUGAUUAGUUGGUGAGUUGAUGAUUGGUUGGUUGGUCAGGUCGUUGGUUGGACUAGUCGACUGGCCUCAGGCUCGGGGAUAAGAAGCCGAGGAAAGUGGUUCAAC